GGCGGACGGGUGAGUAACGCGUGGGAACGUACCCUUUGCUUCGGAAUAGCCCCUGGAAACGGGGAGUAAUACCGGAUGAGCCCUACGGGGGAAAGAUUUAUCGGCAAAGGAUCGGCCCGCGUUGGAUUAGGUAGUUGGUGGGGUAAUGGCCUACCAAGCCGACGAUCCAUAGCUGGUUUGAGAGGAUGAUCAGCCACACUGGGACUGAGACACGGCCCAGACUCCUACGGGAGGCAGCAGUGGGGAAUCUUAGACAAUGGGCGCAAGCCUGAUCUAGCCAUGCCGCGUGAUCGAUGAAGGCCUUAGGGUUGUAAAGAUCUUUCGUGGGGGAGGAUAAUGACGGUACCCCAAGAAGAAGCCCCGGCUAACUCCGUGCCAGCAGCCGCGGUAAUACGGAGGGGGCUAUCGUUAUUCCGGAAUACUGGGCGUAAAGCGCACGUAGGCGGAUUGAAAAGUCAGAGGUGAAAUCCCAGAGCUCAACUUUGGAACUGCCUUUGAAACUCUCAGUCUUGAGGUCGAGAGAGGUGAGUGGAAUUCCGAGUGUAGAGGUGAAAUUCGUAGAUAUUCGGAGGA
This 573-nucleotide ribosomal RNA is filed under the name uncultured Paracoccaceae bacterium. Its description in RNAcentral is "bacterial SSU rRNA". It matches the Rfam family "Bacterial small subunit ribosomal RNA", at positions 97 to 705 of the family's 1533-position model. The record is from RNAcentral. Lineage: Bacteria; Pseudomonadati; Pseudomonadota; Alphaproteobacteria; Rhodobacterales; Paracoccaceae.